UCUUUAAAAAAAAAAAAAAAAGGAAAAUGUUAGAAUGUCGGAAACCCUAGAAAGUAAUAGAUACAUAUUUUUUUUAAACGUGUUUUUACCUUGCUUUGACUAUUACUCAGAAUGGUAGUAAUAAGACGUUGCAGCUGAUUACAUGGUAAUAGAAAUUUAUAUUACUUAGGAUUUAUGACAAUUACUUUGAAGACUUUAUGUUUGCAUGCUAGUAUUUCAAAAGCUAUGACACGUUUUCUUAAAAGAUAAAGGUAUUUGUUCUGCAGAUUGACUACCUAUUACAGUUUCUCCUGUGUAUGAACUUUAUAUACAUGGAAUCAUGCAUUCUUUUGUCUUUUCUCUCAGUCAACAUUGUUAAGAGUCAGCUUCAAGAGCGACUGGGCUUGUCCACCACAAGCCAUUCAUGGUCCUGUUGAUAAACGUUUCUGGCUUUUACUAUUACCAAUGAUGAAUACUUUUGUUGAACGUCUGAUGUAAGGUCUAUAGCUAGGAGUCUCAUUGUUGUGUCACAGGGCACAACUUCAUUAAUUAAUGCCAAACUUUUUCCAACUGGCUUGUACCAACUCACACUCACACAGAAGCAAGUAAGCCUCCAUUCCACAGUAGCAAGGCUUUGUACAUCAGAUGUUUCUAUUUUUGCCCAUCUUACGGUGUAACUAUAUCUCAGAUUUUAAUUUUUAUUUCCAAUUACUAACAAUGCUGAAUAUAUUUAUUGAUUGGCCAUUUAGAUUUCUCCUUCUGUACAGUACUUAAAUCUUUCACACAAUUUCCCCCCCGGCUUCAGUUCUCUAUGUAUUCUGAAUAUUCAAUACUGUGCAAUGUCUUUGCAAAUGUUUUUCCAAUUUGUAGUUUGUCUUGUCAUUAUCCUUAUGGUAUCUUUUGAUUAAAAAAAGUUACUUCACUUCAGUGAAGUUGAAUAUAUGAAUCUUUCCUUUAGUUAGUACUUUUUAUGGCCUGUUUAAAAAGUUCUUCUACAUCGGGGCCACAGAGACACACUCUCAUAUUAUAUUCAAAAGACUUUUUAGUUUUGCUUUUCACAUCUAGGUUUUUAAUAAGUCUGGAGUUGACUUGUGUGUAGAAUAGUGGUAAUCUGGGAAAUUUUUUUUCCCAUAGGGACACCCAAUUGUCCAGCCACCUUUACUGAAAAGUCUAUCUUCAUACUACUGAUGUGCAAUGCCUCCUCUAUGAAAUUCCGAUAAAAGAUGACUUAAGGAAUCAACUAUGUUAACAGUAAAUGCCUGAGUAAUUUGCUCAUGACUUAACUCUUCAACCUUGAGAGGUCCUUACUGUCAUGUACUCAUUCCUACAUUUCUCUUUACUCUGUACUUUAAUGGAUGAAAAUUAUUUCUUGUUAGUAUAAACUUUCUGACGCAAUUUAUAAGAGAACACCAUUAAUAAUACAUACACGUAUUUUUUUAAGUUCCUGAAAAACCUGUUCGGUAUGAAAUUCUUCAAAAUCUCCUCUGAAGGACCAUCAUUAUUUUGAAUACUCCUCAAACAAAACCCUUAUGGCAGGCCAGCCAGUCUUCCUGCCAGCCAGCCACUAACAUACACCACAACCAUCUCUCCGUUGGCUAACAGAGGAGCGCCACACACCCCUCCCUGCCAUCUACCUCUAGGACCUAACAGGAUACUUUCAAAUAUGGGCUCACCUGGAUUAUGGGACUUUCACUGUCAAUUUUAAAUGUCACUGGAAGCACACCAUAUAAACGGAUUUGCAUUCUAAAAUAUUCCCUUCCUAUAUGGAGAAAUUUUUGUCAUUCAGCAUUCUUCAAAAAUCUUUAAGUGGUGAUAUCGUUAGUCAUAAUUUAAAAAAUACGGAUAAACACUUUGGAGACUUUUUGCUUUUCCCAUUCAGUUUUGUUUCUGAUAUGUAGUCCUGUUGCUGCCUGUACCUGUAAGUUCAUUUUUACUGCUGUAUCAUAUUUCCUUAUGUGAAGAGACAGCUUAAAUAGCCUGUAUCCUGACAAUGUACAGCUGGGUCAUUUCCAGUUUCUCAAA
Sapajus apella (tufted capuchin) is the source of this 2001-nucleotide long non-coding RNA. RefSeq lists it as uncharacterized. The record is from RefSeq and is a predicted model, not a curated record. The transcript has 3 exons. NCBI's taxonomy places the organism in Eukaryota, Metazoa, Chordata, Mammalia, Primates, Cebidae.